This 500-nucleotide ribosomal RNA is filed under the name uncultured bacterium. RNAcentral's name for it is "partial 16S ribosomal RNA". It matches the Rfam family "Bacterial small subunit ribosomal RNA", at positions 30 to 523 of the family's 1533-position model. The record is from RNAcentral.
AUUGAACGCUGGCGGCAUGCUUUACACAUGCAAGUCGAACGGUAUCAGGGUGCUUGCACCGCUGACGAGUGGCGAACGGGUGAGUAAUGCGUCGGAACGUGCCGAGUAGUGGGGGAUAACGCAGCGAAAGUUGUGCUAAUACCGCAUACGUACUGAGGUAGAAAGUGGGGGACCUUCGGGCCUCACGCUAUUCGAGCGGCCGACGUCUGAUUAGCUAGUAGGUGAGGUAAAGGCUCACCUAGGAGACGAUCAGUAGCGGGUCUGAGAGGAUGAUCCGCCAAACUGGGACUGAGACACGGCCCAGACUCCUACGGGAGGCAGCAGUGGGGAAUUUUGGACAAUGGGCGAAAGCCUGAUCCAGCCAUGCCGCGUGUCUGAAGAAGGCCUUCGGGUUGUAAAGGACUUUUGUCAGGGAGGAAAUCCCUAGUGCUAAUAACACUGGGGGAUGACAGUACCUGAAGAAUAAGCACCGGCUAACUACGUGCCAGCAGCCGCCGUAA